This 858-nucleotide ribosomal RNA is filed under the name Escherichia coli. RNAcentral's name for it is "partial 23S ribosomal RNA". It matches the Rfam family "Bacterial large subunit ribosomal RNA", at positions 419 to 1278 of the family's 2925-position model. Lineage: Bacteria; Pseudomonadati; Pseudomonadota; Gammaproteobacteria; Enterobacterales; Enterobacteriaceae. The record is from RNAcentral.
GGGACACGUGGUAUCCUGUCUGAAUAUGGGGGGACCAUCCUCCAAGGCUAAAUACUCCUGACUGACCGAUAGUGAACCAGUACCGUGAGGGAAAGGCGAAAAGAACCCCGGCGAGGGGAGUGAAAAAGAACCUGAAACCGUGUACGUACAAGCAGUGGGAGCCUCUUAAUGGGGUGACUGCGUACCUUUUGUAUAAUGGGUCAGCGACUUAUAUUCUGUAGCAAGGUUAACCGAAUAGGGGAGCCGAAGGGAAACCGAGUCUUAACUGGGCGUUAAGUUGCAGGGUAUAGACCCGAAACCCGGUGAUCUAGCCAUGGGCAGGUUGAAGGUUGGGUAACACUAACUGGAGGACCGAACCGACUAAUGUUGAAAAAUUAGCGGAUGACUUGUGGCUGGGGGUGAAAGGCCAAUCAAACCGGGAGAUAGCUGGUUCUCCCCGAAAGCUAUUUAGGUAGCGCCUCGUGAAUUCAUCUCCGGGGGUAGAGCACUGUUUCGGCAAGGGGGUCAUCCCGACUUACCAACCCGAUGCAAACUGCGAAUACCGGAGAAUGUUAUCACGGGAGACACACGGCGGGUGCUAACGUCCGUCGUGAAGAGGGAAACAACCCAGACCGCCAGCUAAGGUCCCAAAGUCAUGGUUAAGUGGGAAACGAUGUGGGAAGGCCCAGACAGCCAGGAUGUUGGCUUAGAAGCAGCCAUCAUUUAAAGAAAGCGUAAUAGCUCACUGGUCGAGUCGGCCUGCGCGGAAGAUGUAACGGGGCUAAACCAUGCACCGAAGCUGCGGCAGCGACACUAUGUGUUGUUGGGUAGGGGAGCGUUCUGUAAGCCUGUGAAGGUGUGCUGUGAGGCAUGCUGGAG